CCAAGCAUCGGAGUCGACUCAAAACCUUCAAGAGUUGACUUGUUGACAGGGUCUGAAAACCAUCGUUCUGUCUUUCUGUCUGUUACCCUUUGGAAUCGACUCGGGACUAUCUGGAGUCGACUCGCCAGGCAUCGGAGUCGACUCGAAACCUUCAGGAGUCGACUCGCUGAUAAGGUCUGAAAACCGUCGUUCUGUCUUUCUGUCUGUUCUCAGUCGGAGUCGACUCGAGGAGUUCCGGAGUCAACUCGAGCUUGUGCCAAAAACAUCAAACCACCCGGAGUCGAUCGCAAAGUUUCGGAGUCGACUCGUGAUGUUUGGUUAAAAUUGAGUCCAAUACUUAGCCAAAUUACUUUGAACCAAAGCUCGAGGCACUUAAACAGAAAUUCCUACAUUGUUACCUGAAACACUAGAUUUAAUUCAUUAGUGCAACAUAAGAUAUACUCAAAAUGCUUUGUGCUCA
This 460-nucleotide long non-coding RNA is filed under the name Phoenix dactylifera (date palm). RNAcentral's name for it is "long non-coding RNA (PDAC_LNC021534)". Lineage: Eukaryota; Viridiplantae; Streptophyta; Magnoliopsida; Arecales; Arecaceae. The record is from RNAcentral.